GAGAGUUUGGCCGAGUGGUUAAGGCGUCAGAUUUAGGUCUUCACAAGUUUCCAAUAACUUGUAAGCACUCUGAUAUCUACGGAUGCGCGGGUUCGAAUCCCGUAGCUCUCA
Molecule: transfer RNA, 111 nt
Filed under: Kluyveromyces marxianus
Lineage: Eukaryota; Fungi; Ascomycota; Saccharomycetes; Saccharomycetales; Saccharomycetaceae
Description: tRNA-Leu
Rfam family: tRNA
About the family: Transfer RNA (tRNA) molecules are approximately 80 nucleotides in length.
Source: RNAcentral